Molecule: long non-coding RNA, 527 nt
Filed under: Scophthalmus maximus (turbot)
Lineage: Eukaryota; Metazoa; Chordata; Actinopteri; Pleuronectiformes; Scophthalmidae
Description: lncRNA (ENSSMAG00000021540.1)
Source: RNAcentral
UCACGUAACUGGGCCUGCACGUGCCCGUGUGAAUAGGGAGCAGAUCGUCCACCUGAUGUUGUUUGCUUAGUUGCAGAAAUUGCGACGAAUGAAUAACAGCAGUGCCGCAAAAUAAGACCAGGAAUUUCUUUCCUUGGACCGACGACAGGGCUGUUACUAGAAGUCUGCUGAACGAUUACAUCUCAGCUCUGGCAGAAGCCAGAGAAGGAAAUGAGUCUGUUAAACCGAGCAGCCGCACUGUGACCGACCACAACAUCCUCCCGCUCCUGUGCUCAUUAACAGCCCUCCUUCCUCCCUGCUCUCCUCCAACCUACGUCCAUCACAGUGGGGGUACCGCCUCGCCCCCUCGUGCGCCAACAAAGACCCCACAUCAAAUGGAGUUACGUGGCCUCCAGGAAGUGACAUCACCACAUCACUGGCCUCCACAAGAGGCUUGGUUCACCGGGGACCGACUUCAAACUCUGCUGGGCCCCGUGUUGGAGGGUUGGUUGCUGCAAAGUGAAAAAACGACAACUGAGACUGUAUGA